Molecule: long non-coding RNA, 455 nt
Organism: Ostrea edulis (European flat oyster)
Lineage: Eukaryota; Metazoa; Mollusca; Bivalvia; Ostreida; Ostreidae
Exons: 4
Source: RefSeq, a predicted model, not a curated record
CUGAACUUGACCAUAUGUCCUUGGGUUAGGUCCUAAUGCAGCCUCAGUCUCAGCCUUACAACAUGAAAAUCUGUUUGUACUUUUUGGGAAAUUUGAGUGAUUCACCACCCUUUGAACAAAGGUAUAUUAAUUAAGGCCACCUCAAAGGAAUCCUAGAUUUGUCAAGAAGCCAUAUGUUUUAAUUGCUGCCUAACAAAUGGUAACAAUGUGUUUGUGUAAAUUAGAUUCAUUUUGAGGAAAUAGUUGGUGUACUGUGAGUGCACAUUCCUAAAUGAAUUCAUCAGUUUACAUUAAGGAUCUACCUUCAAAUCCUGUAAUAUGGUGUCUGGGAUACUCUAAAGUGCAUGUCACAGACUAAAGUAAUGAAUAUAACUUCCAAGAAUUUUUAAGAAAUUGUUAUAACUUUAAAAUGUAUGUAUAUAUACUGAUAUUGAAUUAAAUUUUAUAAAAUUUCA